Molecule: ribosomal RNA, 468 nt
Filed under: uncultured bacterium
Lineage: Bacteria
Description: partial 16S ribosomal RNA
Rfam family: Bacterial small subunit ribosomal RNA
Source: RNAcentral
GACGAACGCUGGCGGCGUGCUUAACACAUGCAAGUCGAACGGAAAGGCCCUGCUUUUGUGGGGUGCUCGAGUGGCGAACGGGUGAGUAACACGUGAGUAACCUGCCCUUGACUUUGGGAUAACUCCAGGAAACUGGGGCUAAUACCGGAUAGGAGCUCCUGCUGCAUGGUGGGGGUUGGAAAGUGUCGGCGGUUGGGGAUGGACUCGCGGCUUAUCAGCUUGUUGGUGGGGUAGUGGCUUACCAAGGCAUUGACGGGUAGCCGGCCUGAGAGGGUGACCGGCCACAUUGGGACUGAGAUACGGCCCAGACUCAUACGGGAGGCAGCAGUGGGAAAUAUUGCACAAUGGGCGGAAGCCUGAUGCAGCAACGCCGCGUGCGGGAUGACGGCCUUCGGGUUGUAACCCGCUUUCGCCUGUGAAGAAGCGCGAGUGACGGUAAUGGGUAAAGAAGCACCGGCUAACUACGUG